GACGAACGCUGGCGGCGUGCUUAACACAUGCAAGUCGUACGGUAAGGCCCUUUCGGGGGUACACGAGUGGCGAACGGGGGAGUAACACGUGAGUAACCUGCCCACAACUUUGGGAUAACGCUAGGAAACUGGGGCUAAUACUGGAUAUGUGCUCCUGCUGCAUGGUGGGGGUUGGAAAGCUCCGGCGGUUGUGGAUGGACUCGCGGCCUAUCAGCUUGUUGGUGGGGUAGUGGCCUACCAAGGCGGCGACGGGUAGCCGGCCUGUGGGGGUGACCGGCCACCUUGGGACUGAGAGACGGCCCAGCCUCCGACGGGAGGCAGCAGUGGGGAAUAUUGCUCAAGGGGCGCCAGCCUGAUGCAGCAACGCCGCGUGCGGGAUGACGGCCUUCGGGUUGUAAACCGCUUUCAGCAGGGACGAAGCUUUUUGUGACGGUACCUGCAGAAGAAGCACCGGCUAACUACGUG
RNAcentral lists this ribosomal RNA (465 nucleotides) under uncultured bacterium. RNAcentral's name for it is "partial 16S ribosomal RNA". It matches the Rfam family "Bacterial small subunit ribosomal RNA", at positions 28 to 507 of the family's 1533-position model. The record is from RNAcentral.